ACGGAAGGCAGCAGUGGGGAAUAUUGCACAAUGGGGGGAACCCUGAUGCAGCAACGCCACGUGUGGGAAGAAGCAUUUCGGUGUGUAAACCACUGUCGUGAGGGAAUAAUGCCUGGUUUCGGCCAGGUUGAAUGUACCUCGAAAGGAAGCACCGGCAAACUUCGUGCCAGCAGCCGCGGUAAUACGAGGGGUGCAAGCGUUGUUCGGAAUCACUGGGCGUAAAGGGAGCGUAGGCGGAGGAGCAAGCAGUCUGUACAAUACCGGGGCCCAACCCCGGACCUGCAGACUGGACUGUUUCUCUUGGAUAGUUCAGGGGCUGGCGGAAUUCCUGGUGUAGCGGUGGAAUGCGUAGAGAUCAGGAAGAACACCGAUGGCGAAGGCAGCCAGCUGGGGACUCAUCGACGCUGAGGCUCGAAAGUGCGGGUAGCAAACAGGAUUAGAUACCCUGGUA
Molecule: ribosomal RNA, 451 nt
Filed under: uncultured Fibrobacter sp.
Lineage: Bacteria; Pseudomonadati; Fibrobacterota; Fibrobacteria; Fibrobacterales; Fibrobacteraceae
Description: partial 16S ribosomal RNA
Rfam family: Bacterial small subunit ribosomal RNA
Source: RNAcentral